RNAcentral lists this transfer RNA (661 nucleotides) under Rosa chinensis. RNAcentral's name for it is "sRNA RchiOBHm_MTg0498301". The stretch from base 581 to 653 matches the Rfam family "tRNA". The record is from RNAcentral. Lineage: Eukaryota; Viridiplantae; Streptophyta; Magnoliopsida; Rosales; Rosaceae.
GCCGCUCCCCUACCCCGGCCCGUCACUUUUCUUGGCUUAGGCUUCCAACUGAACUCACCUUCGGUGCCUUGCCGCCGCAGAAGCUAAGCGCUUGAAAAGCGCGCUAAGAAACGUUGCUUCUGUCGGCCUUUCUGUGCAAUAGUCCGCCAGUAGCGGAAGAGAGGGUUACCGUACAUACAAGAGUCUUCCCGUUUUGCGUAAGCUUUUUAUUACCAGUAAAGUAGUACAACAGCUGUAUCUUAUAGCCGCGGGUCGCCUUUUGAAAAUCGUAGAUAGAAGAAACUAUUAGAUAGAUAAGGAGUAGGUGAGGACUCACUGACCUGAGCGAUUUCGAUCACCUAGCAGGCCUUUAAUUUGGUAGGUAACAUCGCCGAAGCGUAUUAUCUGAUUUUACUACGAAGGAAGGAACUCGAAGUGAGACGGCACCGUCUUGUCCAACGCAACGAUAUGGCCCUCUAUCAUCUUCUAUCCGGUAGACUUGGUAAAAGGGCCCCAACUUUUUUCCAGAAUUAGAGUUCGACCGCGGCUGCCCCCUUUUUUUCCGCACCAAUCCUUAUUUACUACUAUAUGUUUGUUUUUGGGGUGUAUAGCUCAGUUGGUAGAGCAUUGGGCUUUUAACCUAAUGGUCGCAGGUUCAAGUCCUGCUAUACCCAAACCUACC